RNAcentral lists this ribosomal RNA (301 nucleotides) under uncultured bacterium. Its description in RNAcentral is "partial 16S ribosomal RNA". It matches the Rfam family "Bacterial small subunit ribosomal RNA", at positions 509 to 807 of the family's 1533-position model. The record is from RNAcentral.
CAGCAGCCACGGGAAUACCGAGGGUGCAAGCGUUAAUCGGAAUUACUGGGCGUAAAGCGCGCGUAGGUGGUUUGUUAAGUUGGAUGUGAAAUCCCCGGGCUCAACCUGGGAACUGCAUCCAAAACUGGCAAGCUAGAGUAUGGUAGAGGGUGGUGGAAUUUCCUGUGUAGCGGUGAAAUGCGUAGAUAUAGGAAGGAACACCAGUGGCGAAGGCGACCACCUGGACUGAUACUGACACUGAGGUGCGAAAGCGUGGGGAGCAAACAGGAUUAGAGACCCGAGUAGUCCCUGUCUCUUAUAC